AGGCUCCAGCCGCCCGUCUUUGUAAAGAGACCUCUGCAAGGAGCCGGAGCUUGGAGCGCAGCAGCCCCUGCUGCCUUGACUUUAGAAGAAAUCUCAAUGGACUAUUUGUAGGGAAUUACUGAUCCUGCCUGCAAGCUUUUUGCACGGCAAAAGAUAUCGAUCAGUGUUAAGUGAAGGUCGCAUUUUAUAUGCGAUCUUGACUUUUUUUUUUCCUGGGGAUUCUCAUAUUAUAUUUUUAUAGAUUUUUGUUAUCAACAUGGUGCUGGGAAAGGUAAAGAGUUUGACGAUAAGCUUUGACUGUCUUAAUGACAGCAAUGUCCCUGUGUAUUCUAGCGGGGAUACAGUCUCAGGAAGGGUGAAUUUAGAAGUUACUGGGGAAAUCAGAGUAAAAUCUCUUAAAAUUCAUGCAAGAGGACAUGCGAAAGUACGCUGGACCGAAUCUAGAAACGCCGGCUCCAAUACUGCCUAUACACAGAAUUAUACUGAAGAAGUCGAAUAUUUCAACCAUAAAGACAUCUUAAUUGGACACGAAAGAGAUGAUGAUAGUUCUGAAGAAGGCUUCAACACUAUUCAUUCAGGAAGGCAUGAAUAUGCAUUCAGCUUCGAGCUUCCACAGACACCACUUGCUACCUCAUUCGAAGGCCGACAUGGCAGUGUGCGCUAUUGGGUGAAAGCCGAAUUGCACAGGCCUUGGCUUCUACCAGUAAAAUUAAAGAAGGAAUUUACAGUCUUUGAGCAUAUAGAUAUCAACACUCCUUCAUUACUGUCACCCCAAGCAGGCACAAAAGAAAAGACUCUCUGUUGCUGGUUCUGUACCUCAGGCCCAAUAUCCUUAAGUGCCAAAAUCGAAAGGAAGGGAUAUACCCCAGGUGAAUCAAUUCAGAUAUUUGCUGAGAUUGAGAACUGCUCUUCCAGAAUGGUGGUGCCAAAGGCAGCCAUUUACCAAACACAGGCCUUUUAUGCCAAAGGAAAAAUGAAGGAGGUAAAACAGCUUGUGGCGAAUUUGCGUGGGGAGUCCUUAUCAUCUGGAAAAACGGAGACUUGGAAUGGCAAGUUGCUGAAAAUCCCACCAGUUUCUCCUUCCAUCCUUGACUGUAGCAUAAUCCGCGUGGAAUAUUCACUAAUGGUAUAUGUGGAUAUUCCUGGAGCUAUGGAUUUAUUUCUUAAUUUGCCACUUGUCAUUGGUACCAUUCCUCUACAUCCAUUUGGUAGCAGAACCUCAAGUGUAAGCAGUCAGUGUAGCAUGAAUAUGAACUGGCUUGGUAUAUCUCUACCGGAAAGACCUGAAGAACAUGUUGUUCGAAUUGCGUGUAUCUUUUUCCUUCAGCACCACCCAGCUAUGCAGAAGUGGUAACAGAGGAACAAAGGCGGAACAAUCUCGCACCAGUCAGUGCUUGUGACGACUUUGAAAGGGCACUUCAAGGACCAUUGUUUGCAUAUAUCCAGGAGUUCCGCUUCUUGCCUCCACCUCUUUAUUCAGAGAUUGAUCCAAAUCCUGAUCAGUCAACAGAAGAUAGACCAUCCUGCCCCUCUCGUUGAAGGAACACUUGGUGAUAUCAAGUUGAUAUGGGUUCCGAACUGUAUCUCUCCCCGACUGAGGACAGAGAAGUAUCUUGGAGACACGCUUUCAGAGGAAGUGGAAUUGCUUUUGCCCAGAAAAAUGGCAAAUGUAUGAAACAACCAGUGGUCAUGCUUUAGAAGCAUAUUGCAACAUUCUGGGACUGCUCCUCAUGCUUGAAGAUCUAAGCUUUUCUCCUUUCAAACUGGCACAUACUAAGAGCAGUCAACCUUAGCCUAUGGUCAUAUGUGUCGAGACACCACAUUAUAAAGAGGGAUGACUUCCUUCUUUUGAUUUGAAAAUUUGCACAUGCUCAAUGCUUACAUUGUGCAGUUCAAUGUCACUACAGCUUUUUUUUUUUUUUUCCAUUUAUGCCAGACUCUUGAUACUCUUAAUACUUGCUUGUGAUCAGCACAACAAGGAACAAAAGAAAGCUUUGGGGGGAGGGGAAACAAACUGCAACAUGGAAAAAGCGCACUGACAUUUAUUUUUAAUUUAACAUAGCCUGGACUCUGCCUGCAUAUGCACAUGCUCAGAAUUGUCCUACUAGGCUGACCAUGUCUCACCUCUUCAUCUUGGAUCCUAUUGUGGAUUUAUUUACAAACAUCAAAUGCCUUCAAGCCAAUCCUUGCUGUAUGUUUUGCAGCCUACUGUAGUAGAUAACGCAACCGAUACAUGGGAAAAGAGAUAAGAGGAGGAAGCUAAUAAGAGACUUUGUCAAGAUUGUAUACCUUCUUGGUUUCUUUUAAGAAUUUGUUGCCUUUCUACUAUUACAGCAAAGCAGCAUUUUGUUACUGACUGCCUAAAAUCACUUAAUCUCAGGUGAACGCAUCACUUGCCAAACUGUUGGAAUGCUAUUUGUGUUUUGUUGCACUGUUAUUUUUUUGUUGUUGUUUGGUUGGUUGGUUGGUUGGUUGGUUGGCUGGCUUUUUGGAGAGGGAAAUUUGAAAAAAGGGACAUACACAAAAGUGAUAACCCACCCACAUUCCCUUUUUAUCAUUACAUUUAAGAAGAAAGUAGCAGAGCUAAGAAUGGAGUAAAGAAAAGGCAGUGUGGCAGGCACCAGCAAGAGUUAAGGGCUGUUGCUCUUAAAAACUAUUAUUUUUACUAUUUCAAAAGUAUGGGAGUUUUCCAGUCACUCAAGUGGAGGAGAACGUACAUUUAUUUUUAUACAGAGUUAAUUACCUCCAAAGCACAUAUGUUGAAAAUCAUUUUUGCUGGUGCAAAGUAUUUUAAUGAGCAGGGAAUCUAUGUUCAGGUAAUAAUUUGAAAGCUCAGUUUGUAUGUUUUCUAUCCUGCUCAAGCUUGAAAGAGCGUGAAAACCAAGUUUAUUAGUGGUUAACUUCAGAAUUAACAAGUACUCGAAUGUUGCUGGAUUAAUAACUUUUAUACUUGUGUGGGUUUUUUUUU
Molecule: RNA transcript, 2968 nt
Organism: Erinaceus europaeus (western European hedgehog)
Lineage: Eukaryota; Metazoa; Chordata; Mammalia; Eulipotyphla; Erinaceidae
Gene: ARRDC3
Gene name: arrestin domain containing 3
Exons: 8
Source: RefSeq, a predicted model, not a curated record